RNAcentral lists this ribosomal RNA (512 nucleotides) under Enterococcus faecium. RNAcentral describes it as "bacterial SSU rRNA". It matches the Rfam family "Bacterial small subunit ribosomal RNA", at positions 8 to 491 of the family's 1533-position model. The record is from RNAcentral. Lineage: Bacteria; Bacillati; Bacillota; Bacilli; Lactobacillales; Enterococcaceae.
AGAGUUUGAUCCUGGCUCAGGACGAACGCUGGCGGCGUGCCUAAUACAUGCAAGUCGAACGCUUCUUUUUCCACCGGAGCUUGCUCCACCGGAAAAAGAGGAGUGGCGAACGGGUGAGUAACACGUGGGUAACCUGCCCAUCAGAAGGGGAUAACACUUGGAAACAGGUGCUAAUACCGUAUAACAAUCAAAACCGCAUGGUUUUGAUUUGAAAGGCGCUUUCGGGUGUCGCUGAUGGAUGGACCCGCGGUGCAUUAGCUAGUUGGUGAGGUAACGGCUCACCAAGGCCACGAUGCAUAGCCGACCUGAGAGGGUGAUCGGCCACAUUGGGACUGAGACACGGCCCAAACUCCUACGGGAGGCAGCAGUAGGGAAUCUUCGGCAAUGGACGAAAGUCUGACCGAGCAACGCCGCGUGAGUGAAGAAGGUUUUCGGAUCGUAAAACUCUGUUGUUAGAGAAGAACAAGGAUGAGAGUAACUGUUCAUCCCUUGACGGUAUCUAACCAGAAAGC